RNAcentral lists this unclassified non-coding RNA (508 nucleotides) under Hevea brasiliensis (rubber tree). Lineage: Eukaryota; Viridiplantae; Streptophyta; Magnoliopsida; Malpighiales; Euphorbiaceae. The record is from RNAcentral.
AAAGAAAAAAGAAAAAAAAAAGCCUAAGAUAUAAGCUCUGAAUAAAUGCCAAACUUUUUGCAAUUAGACAGCAUCUUGAGGUACCCUUGCAGUGUAAGUAUUCAACUUUUGCCAUAAAUUAUUAAAUUUUUUACCAUAAAAUCACAAAUUCUGUACUCCAUAACACUAAAAUAACUCACUGUAAAUUCAGAAUUUCAAUGUAAAAUAUCAAGAACGUUGCUGUAAAACCCAAAACAUUUUCCUACAGAAAACAAAAUAUUAAAUGAAAUCCACUCUUAUUCCCCCCUCCUCAGUUCUUUCCUUUAUUUGACCUAACAGUGGCUCAAUAAAAUCUGGUUGAUCGAAAAUCUAUAUCCAAGUUCAGAGGACAAGAUUGCAUACAUUAAUAAGCUCCAGCAUUCUAUCAAGAAGAUCAUGGUCUAUAGUGGAUGACAAAUUCCCAAUCCAAGUGAACGUAGACCUUCCAGUUUGCAGGAUGUAACAAUAGUAUGAAUUUAGAGAACUUGAA